RNAcentral lists this ribosomal RNA (254 nucleotides) under uncultured bacterium. RNAcentral describes it as "partial 16S ribosomal RNA". It matches the Rfam family "Bacterial small subunit ribosomal RNA", at positions 524 to 776 of the family's 1533-position model. The record is from RNAcentral.
UACGGGGGGAGCAAGCGUUGUUCGGAUUUACUGGGCGUAAAGGGCGCGUAGGCGGCCACCGCAAGUCGACUGUGAAAUCUCCGGGCUUAACCCGGAAAGGUCAGCCGAUACUGCGGGGCUAGAGUGCAGAAGGGGCAACUGGAAUUCUCGGUGUAGCGGUGAAAUGCGUAGAUAUCGAGAGGAACACCUGCGGCGAAGGCGGGUUGCUGGGCUGACACUGACGCUGAGGCGCGAAAGCUAGAGGAGCGAACGGG